AGGCCGGGGAUCAGUCGGGGAGAAGGAGGCGAGGGGGCCGCGGAAACGGAGAAGGAAAAGGCGGUGAGAUGUGGGGCCAGGAGCCAAGGAAUGUGGGCGGCCCGGGGAAAGCUGGAAGAGGCAGGGAUCAGAUUUUUCCCCUGGAAGCUCCAGAAGAAACACGACUCUGCUGACACCUUGAUUUUAGACUUCUGGCCUGCAGAACCCUAAGACACGAACCGCGUGUUGCCUUAAGGCACCGACUGUGUGGCUGCAGUAGAUAGAGGCCACAGGAAACUGAUAGAAGCCCAGAGAAGACUCAGUCCGUGCUGAGUCCCCCGGGCUCCCUGCCUCCUGCCCUCGCCCUGACUCCGCUCCUCCAGCCUUCUCGUGCGUUCUGUGAGCUUCCUGAUCUCCCGUGCUGCCCACGCUCUCGGCAACGAGCCCGGCUCUCCCAGGCUCCCCAGCGGGACGUGCCUUCUGCCUCGUGGGGUGGGGUUGACUCCACGGUGGACGGUCCUUCUCUGCCCCGCUUGGGUUGGCAGUUCUGACUCAGACGAGCUGAUAAAAAUGUGCAGAGGAUGGUUUGCUGGGACUUGUCACAAAAUGCUCCAAGGAAGAAUAUUCUUCUGGAUGCACCGAAAGCCAGUCUUCAGGUUCCUUGAGCUGAGGAAAUGUUUCGGAAAAUGUUAAGGGAAAACACAAGAGAAAGAUGAACAGGCACGGAGGAAGCUGGCCGCCUGUCCGUGCUGGGAGCCAAGUGAGCCAGGAGAGAGGCUGGGCUCGCCAGGUGCGCGGUGGCUUUUCCCAGAAGUCUUCCCGCUGUGCCAGAAGAAGUCCUGGAAUCCUGGCUACCCAGUGUGCCAGGAGAAGCGAUGGUUCUGCUGCUCCGAUCAGCCUCCGUGAGGGUGGGCAGCCCACCGGCCUCGGGGCAGGAGGACCGUCCAGGAGCCCAAGCCGAUACCCUCUCCCGAGCCUGUGCUGGAGACUUGCGUCCUCGGCUCCCGGGAGGAAGUGUGAAGGGCUCACGAAUAGAUGGAAAAUGUGGUCCCCCCCACCAGCCACCAGUAAAACACACAUCAGUUACCCACCAAA
Prionailurus viverrinus (fishing cat) is the source of this 1074-nucleotide long non-coding RNA. RefSeq lists it as uncharacterized. The record is from RefSeq and is a predicted model, not a curated record. The transcript is spliced from 2 exons. Lineage: Eukaryota; Metazoa; Chordata; Mammalia; Carnivora; Felidae.